RNAcentral lists this long non-coding RNA (1008 nucleotides) under Ananas comosus (pineapple). Its description in RNAcentral is "long non-coding RNA (ACOM_LNC027738)". Lineage: Eukaryota; Viridiplantae; Streptophyta; Magnoliopsida; Poales; Bromeliaceae. The record is from RNAcentral.
CUCGAAGCCGCGCCACCCGCGGCCGAUCCGCCCGAAGCCGCGCCACCCGCGGCCAAUUCGUCGAUGCCCAUGCCGAGCCGCCGCCCAUGACUCUGCUCGUGAUCUCGGCCGAGCCGCGCCACCCGCGCGCCGUCGUCGACUUUGAUGGCUCGAACCCGAGGAGUUCCCUCUGAUGCCGCGUCGCUCCACCUCGAAGACCGCAGCCCCGUCGAUGCCGCGCCGCUGUCGUGGCCCUUCACCGCUGCAGAGCGUCGUCGUCACGGCCCUCCUCCGUCGCGGUCUCAGAUCCGCGGCUCCACUGUCAGGUCACAGCCCCAGCGGAGCUCCGUCAUCAACAAAGCCCGCCAACCGCUCGACGGCGAACCUGAGAGAGAGAGCGGUGCUCUCCUCUCAAACGGAGUCCGCCCACCAACCGCUCGACGGCGAACCUCUCCUCUCAAACGGAGUCCGCCCACCAACUGUUUGACGAAAUGCCCAAGACAUAUCUUUCGACGGCGAACCUGAGAGGGAGCGGUGCUCUCCUCUCAAACGGGUUCCGCCCGCCAAUUGCUCGAUGUGCCCGGAGUCCGCCCACCAACCGUUCGACGGCGAAUCUGAGAGAGAGAGCAGUGCUCUCCUCUCAAAUGAAGUCAAGUCCGCCAACCGCUCCGACGGCGAAACUGAGAGAGAGAGCGGUGCUCUCCUCUAAAAAAAAGAGAAAGAGACGUUACUUCUCCAAUGAUAAAAAGAGAGAGAGCUUAGUUAAUGUUAGGGAGGCAAGGAAGGGAUUUUUUAUCCCGCCUUAGUUGUCCCACGAAUGUAAAAGAGAUAAAAAGAAAUUAUUCAUCUCUGUUAUAUUAUAUUUUUAAAAGAGAUAAAGAGAAAAAAAUGUAUUCUCUUAAUUCUCAUUCAAUGAAGAAAUGAAAGAAAAUUAGUCGGAUUUUCGAUUAAUAUUCUUUUGAUUGUUCUUUUAACAGUGUUCAAAAAUAAUCGAACCCUUCAAUUGAACCUUUCGAUUUGGUCGAAUUA